GACGAACGCUGGCGGCGUGCUUAACACAUGCAAGUCGAACGGAAAGGCCCUGCUUUUGUGGGGUGCUCGAGUGGCGAACGGGUGAGUAACACGUGAGUAACCUGCCCUUGACUUUGGGAUAACUUCAGGAAACUGGGGCUAAUACCGGAUAGGAGCUCCUGCUGCAUGGUGGGGGUUGGAAAGUUUCGGCGGUUGGGGAUGGACUCGCGGCUUAUCAGCUUGUUGGUGGGGUAGUGGCUUACCAAGGCUUUGACGGGUAGCCGGCCUGAGAGGGUGACCGGCCACAUUGGGACUGAGAUACGGCCCAGACUCCUACGGGAGGCAGCAGUGGGGAAUAUUGCACAAUGGGCGGAAGCCUGAUGCAGCAACGCCGCGUGCGGGAUGACGGCCUUCGGGUUGUAAACCGCUUUCGCCUGUGACGAAGCGUGAGUGACGGUAAUGGGUAAAGAAGCACCGGCUAACUACGUGCCAGCAGCCGCGGUGAUACGUAGGGUGCGAGCGUUGUCCGGAUUUAUUGGGCGUAAAGGGCUCGUAGGUGGUUGAUCGCGUCGGAAGUGUAAUCUUGGGGCUUAACCCUGAGCGUGCUUUCGAUACGGGUUGACUUGAGGAAGGUAGGGGAGAAUGGAAUUCCUGGUGGAGCGGUGGAAUGCGCAGAUAUCAGGAGGAACACCAGCGGCGAAGGCGGUUCUCUGGGCCUUUCCUGACGCUGAGGAGCGAAAGCGUGGGGAGCGAACAGGCUUAGAUACCCUGGUAGUCCACGCUGUAAACGGUGGGUACUAGGUGUGGGGUCCAUUCCACGGGUUCCGUGCCGUAGCUAACGCUUUAAGUACCCCGCCUGGGGAGUACGGCCGCAAGGCUAAAACUCAAAGGAAUUGACGGGGCCCCGCACAAGCGGCGGAGCAUGCGGAUUAAUUCGAUGCAACGCGUAGAACCUUACCUGGGUUUGACAUGGAUCGGGAGUGCUCAGAGAUGGGUGUGCCUCUUUUGGGGUCGGUUCACAGGUGGUGCAUGGCUGUCGUCAGCUCGUGUCGUGAGAUGUUGGGUUAAGUCCCGCAACGAGCGCAACCCUUGUUCACUGUUGCCAGCACGUUAUGGUGGGGACUCAGUGGAGACCGCCGGGGUCAACUCGGAGGAAGGUGGGGAUGACGUCAAGUCAUCAUGCCCCUUAUGUCCAGGGCUUCACGCAUGCUACAAUGGCUGGUACAGAGAGUGGCGAGCCUGUGAGGGUGAGCGAAUCUCGGAAAGUCGGUCUCAGUUCGGAUUGGGGUCUGCAACUCGACCUCAUGAAGUCGGAGUCGCUAGUAAUCGCAGAUCAGCAACGCUGCGGUGAAUACGUUCCCGGG
Molecule: ribosomal RNA, 1343 nt
Filed under: uncultured bacterium
Lineage: Bacteria
Description: 16S ribosomal RNA
Rfam family: Bacterial small subunit ribosomal RNA
Source: RNAcentral